AGAUCCCACCCAGAUUUGAAUUCGGAUUGCUGGAUUCAGAGUCCAAAGUGCUAACCAUUACACCAUGGGGCUC
RNAcentral lists this transfer RNA (73 nucleotides) under Caligus rogercresseyi. RNAcentral's name for it is "tRNA-Gln". Lineage: Eukaryota; Metazoa; Arthropoda; Copepoda; Siphonostomatoida; Caligidae. The record is from RNAcentral.